This is a long non-coding RNA of Daphnia carinata, 873 nucleotides long. RefSeq lists it as uncharacterized. The record is from RefSeq and is a predicted model, not a curated record. NCBI's taxonomy places the organism in Eukaryota, Metazoa, Arthropoda, Branchiopoda, Diplostraca, Daphniidae. The transcript has 7 exons.
UACAAUAUGGUUUUAUUAUUUUAAAGCCAAGGGGCAGAAUGCAGAUGAGGCAGUAAUCCAGAAUGUGUUGAAGAAAGUGUAAGACAAAAGCACUCUUUCUAAACUUCAAAGCAAUUAUUGCAAACUCACCAUUAUUUUGCCAAGCUGAUGUGAAAAUAUUUGCAUUUAUAAUUAUGAUCUAUGGUUUAUGAAAUUUUUACUCCUAAUGGAUUUGUAAUUGCUGCAAUAGGUACAAUUUCUUGACAUUGAUUGAUAUGAAGGAAAGAGAGAGAGGGCUAAGAAAGGUUAGGAGGGAAUGAAAUUGUUUUUAUAUGGUAAUGAUGGCCAACAAAUAUUGAUUUAUACUUUCUACGUUGUGGUUCCCAACUGCUGAUGUUAAGCCCCAUUCUGUUAUCAAUGUGUGUGAUAAAGAAACAUUGUCUAGAGAAGAUAAAUGUGACAACAGGAGGAAACAGGACUUAGGCAAGAUAGAAACGUUCGUCAACAAGUGUGGUAAAGAAACAUUGUCUGGAGAAGAUAAAUGUUACGAUAAUACGAGGAACCAGGACUUAGGCAAGAUAGAAACGUUCGUCAACAAGGACUUUGAGUACCAGCAGUCCUUGUAACAAUGGAAUUUUGACGUUAAUUGCAUUGCAGAAACAAAACGGAACAUAUUUGCAACAGAACGGCCAGGAGGGGUGAAAUUGUUAAAUGGUAAUUAUGGCCAACAAACAUCGAUUAAUGCUUUUUAGUUUGAGGUUCCGAACUGAAUAUUUUAAAGUCCUAUUCUGGUGUCAUUUCUGUCAACAAGUUCAUUAAAGGGAUAUACUGUGUCUGAACAAUGUAGAUGUGAAGAUACUAGGAGGAACCAGGAGUUAGGCAAGAUAGAACCGU